UAUCAGUUUCUGUACUUUAUUG
RNAcentral lists this unclassified non-coding RNA (22 nucleotides) under Crithidia fasciculata. RNAcentral describes it as "partial KAP1". Lineage: Eukaryota; Euglenozoa; Kinetoplastea; Trypanosomatida; Trypanosomatidae. The record is from RNAcentral.